GACGAACGCUGGCUGCGUGCUUAACACAUGCAAGUCGAACGGAAAGGCCCUGCUUUUGUGGGGUGCUCGAGUGGCGAACGGGUGAGUAACACGUGAGUAACCUGCCCUUGACUUUGGGAUAACUUCAGGAAACUGGGGCUAAUACCGGAUAGGAGCUCCUGCUGCAUGGUGGGGGUUGGAAAGUUUCGGCGGUUGGGGAUGGACUCGCGGCUUAUCAGCUUGUUGGUGGGGUAGUGGCUUACCAAGGCUUUGACGGGUAGCCGGCCUGAGAGGGUGACCGGCCACAUUGGGACUGAGAUACGGCCCAGACUCCUACGGGAGGCAGCAGUGGGGAAUAUUGCACAAUGGGCGGAAGCCUGAUGCAGCAACGCCGCGUGCGGGAUGACGGCCUUCGGGUUGUAAACCGCUUUCGCCUGUGACGAAGCGUGAGUGACGGUAAUGGGUAAAGAAGCACCGGCUAACUACGUGCCAGCAGCCGCGGUGAUACGUAGGGUGCGAGCGUUGUCCGGAUUUAUUGGGCGUAAAGGGCUCGUAGGUGGUUGAUCGCGUCGGAAGUGUAAUCUUGGGGCUUAACCCUGAGCGUGCUUUCGAUACGGGUUGACUUGAGGAAGGUAGGGGAGAAUGGAACUCCUGGUGGAGCGGUGGAAUGCGCAGAUAUCAGGAGGAACACCAGUGGCGAAGGCGGUUCUCUGGGCCUUUCCUGACGCUGAGGAGCGAAAGCGUGGGGAGCGAACAGGCUUAGAUACCCUGGUAGUCCACGCUGUAAACGGUGGGUACUAGGUGUGGGGUCCAUUCCACGGGUUCCGUGCCGUAGCUAACGCUUUAAGUACCCCGCCUGGGGAGUACGGCCGCAAGGCUAAAACUCAAAGGAAUCGACGGGGCCCCGCACAAGCGGCGGAGCAUGCGGAUUAAUUCGAUGCAACGCGUAGAACCUUACCUGGGUUUGACAUGGAUCGGGAGUGCUCAGAGAUGGGUGUGCCUCUUUUGGGGUCGGUUCACAGGUGGUGCAUGGCUGUCGUCAGCUCGUGUCGUGAGAUGUUGGGUUAAGUCCCGCAACGAGCGCAACCCUUGUUCACUGUUGCCAGCACGUUAUGGUGGGGACUCAGUGGAGACCGCCGGGGUCAACUCGGAGGAAGGUGGGGAUGACGUCAAGUCAUCAUGCCCCUUAUGUCCAGGGCUUCACGCAUGCUACAAUGGCUGGUACAGAGAGUGGCGAGCCUGUGAGGGUGAGCGAAUCUCGGGAAGCCGGUCUCAGUUCGGAUUGGGGUCUGCAACUCGACCUCAUGAAGUCGGAGUCGCUAGUAAUCGCAGAUCAGCAACGCUGCGGUGAAUACGUUCCCGGG
RNAcentral lists this ribosomal RNA (1343 nucleotides) under uncultured bacterium. RNAcentral's name for it is "16S ribosomal RNA". It matches the Rfam family "Bacterial small subunit ribosomal RNA", at positions 28 to 1378 of the family's 1533-position model. The record is from RNAcentral.